CAGUUCUUAUCAGGCAAAGAGAACUUCAGUCUGACCCCCCGAAACUAGACGAGCUACUCCGAGACAGCCUAAUAGGGCAAACCCGUCUCUGUGGCAAAAGAGUGGGAAGAUCUCCGAGUAGAGGCGACAAACCUAACGAGCCUAGUAAUAGCUGGUUGCUCAGGAAAUGAAUAUUAGUUCAGCCUUAAGGCUUCUACUGCCACCCAGGUUAUUACCAACAAAGACAUCAAGAAAACCUUAAGAGUUAUUCAAGAGAGGUACAGCUCCCUUGAAAAAGAACACAACCUUAACAGGUGGAUAAAGAUCACAUUAAAUUAAAGGAACUUUGUUUCAGUGG
Molecule: ribosomal RNA, 337 nt
Filed under: Acipenser oxyrinchus (Atlantic sturgeon)
Lineage: Eukaryota; Metazoa; Chordata; Actinopteri; Acipenseriformes; Acipenseridae
Also listed under: 1 other name
Description: partial 16S ribosomal RNA
Rfam family: Bacterial large subunit ribosomal RNA
Source: RNAcentral